AACGAACGCUGGCGGCAUGCUUAACACAUGCAAGUCGAACGCUCUGACGGGGCUUGCUCUGUCAGGGAGUGGCGCACGGGUGAGUAGCGCGUGGGAACCUGCCCUCUUGUGGGGGAUAACUGCGGGAAACUGCAGCUAAUACCGCAUAAGCCCAGGGGUAACUCUGGGGAAAGAUUUAUCGCGAGAGGAGGGGCCCGCGUCGGAUUAGCUUGUUGGUGGGGUAACGGCCUACCAAGGCGAUGAUCCGUAGCUGGUCUGAGAGGAUGAUCAGCCACAC
RNAcentral lists this ribosomal RNA (277 nucleotides) under uncultured bacterium. RNAcentral describes it as "partial 16S ribosomal RNA". It matches the Rfam family "Bacterial small subunit ribosomal RNA", at positions 29 to 313 of the family's 1533-position model. The record is from RNAcentral.